UUCGCUCCAAAAAAUUUGAUCAAGGAAAAAAAAUAAAAGUUUAUGAGGUCGAAAACAAGGAAGCACUUGUUUUUUAUUUCCAUUUGAUAGCAAUUUUUCUUUCCUACAACUCUCGAUCAUCUCUGUUACGAUCUCUCAAUCACAGUCCCGUUCCUCUUACUUUCAAUCUCGAUAUCUGUCGAUCUCCGUAUCGUGCCCUCUCCGUCUCAGUCUUGUUUUUGAUCUCUGUCUUGAUAUUCCACUUGCAAUCUCGUUCCUCUUAAAGUCUAAAUCGUCGCCAUCUACAUCGGUAAAUCGAAUGGUGUAAUCGAAUUUGACAUUGAAGUAAGAGCUCGAUGAGACUUAAGUCAAAACUUAAAAGCUUUUCAUUUCUUGUGGGGAAGUUGCAUCUUCCCAGGUCGAUGUACUUCGUUUACUGAACCAAAGCCUUGAGAGUUUGUUAAAUGAGAGAUGUGAGAAUACGAUGGACUAUGUAAAAAGGCUUAGGCUUUGCAUUAAAUGGUUUCAAGAACUCGAGUUAGAUUAAGUGUUUGAACAAGAGAGGGAGGUUCAUGACGAAGUGAAUCUAACGAGAGAAAAAAACAAUUGAACCAGGUCUAGGUAGAAGUUUCCAAGAUUGGUAGUGCAAAUGUGUGGAGACCAAAUUUAGAAAUCAAAUAUACUUGGUCUAUGUCAGAAAAUGAGUUUAUGUUUCUAUAAUAUUUUUCUAUGGUUUUAAUAUCAUAAGGUAU
Long non-coding RNA from Camelina sativa (false flax), 731 nucleotides. RefSeq lists it as uncharacterized. The record is from RefSeq and is a predicted model, not a curated record. NCBI's taxonomy places the organism in Eukaryota, Viridiplantae, Streptophyta, Magnoliopsida, Brassicales, Brassicaceae.